Molecule: long non-coding RNA, 3181 nt
Organism: Manis javanica (Malayan pangolin)
Lineage: Eukaryota; Metazoa; Chordata; Mammalia; Pholidota; Manidae
Source: RefSeq, a predicted model, not a curated record
UGGCCUUUGUUAAUACUAACGCCACCAUUCACUAGGCAUCUACUGUGAACCAGACACUGCAUGAGAGGCUCCACGCACUGUCUCCCUUAAUCCUCACCACCACCCCAGGAGGUCAGCACACUGAACCAGGGCCACACAGAGGACGCGAAGUGCUGAAUCUUGACUUUCUAACCCCAAGGCUCACCCCUGUUUCUCCCCACUGCAGGCGGCCUCCUAGUUUCUCGAUUCGCAGGGAACCCGAUUAGAGGCUUUUGGCAGUGACUACACAACUCAUGGUUCACAGGAAGGGACAGCAGAGCCACGGUGCUCUAGUGGACAAUAUAUACCUCCUGCUUGGCAGCUUCACGAGGGGACCCUAAAACUGGGGAAUUUACAAGCCCUGCUAGACCACCAAGGCCCUCGCAUGCUCAGAAUGCAGGACUCCGACUGGCCAAGGACUCCGAGGACCCGGCUCUAGCGAGUCAGCUGGCUCUAAAGAUCUACGCCUUUGGGUUUGUCAUUCAUUCAAUGAAAAAUUGAUGCUUCUGGGCGCUUUAAGAGAGCCAAGUUUCCCGCAGCUUCCAGUCACAGAGUGAGACCCAAGAGGAAGGAGCCAAUAAAAUCUUAAAGACACCCAAGGACCAGGCCCACACAUUCCAAAUACUUCUUAGGAUCCCUCAGAAGCCAAUGGCUCUGUCUUAGAGAGCAGUUUUGAGUAUUAAAGGAAGACAGAAGAGUCCAGAAUAUAGAGUCCAGGGUUGCUGACCAAAGAGGGCAGACUUGGCUCCCGUUGGAGGGCAUCUGAGUCCAGGACACCCCUCCUCUUAACCCAAUCCAGAAGGCAGCUACUCUGAUUAUCUCCCUUUUACAAGUGGGGAAAUGGAGGCACAAUGAGGCAAAGUGACUCAGCCAAGGUCAGGCAGAAGAUGAGUGAAAUCAUUUGGUACCUGUCCCUCUCCGGCUGACUCACCUCACCAAGCAUAACAUCCUCUAGCUCCAUCCAUGUUGUUGCAAAUGAACGCAUAGGAUGGAGAACUUUCCAGAUCAAGGACUCAGAGAGCAAAGGCUGAGCAUGAUUCUCUAGGGCCAACAAGUCACUGGUCUGACUGGAGUGGGCCUUGAGACUUUGUUCGUUGACAUGCAAGUACUCUGACUCUCAGGUGACUUCCAUGGCAGAAGUGAAUGGCCUUGGCUUGGCUGCCUGCUGGUGACCCCUUCCACUGCUUAUGUCCACUCCGCAGGACCAUCUGCUCAGUUAUGGAUUCUGAGAUGACUGAUACGGAGAUACAACCUCAGCAGAGCUGCAUUCCAGCAGAAGAAACCUAUGCUCACGACACUCAUAAUUCAGGAGAAUUUCUUUCUAAUUGACUUUGGAGCAGGCCCUGAGUCAAGAUCAGUAUAUCAAAGACUGUCAGGCCAGCAGGGUCCACAGAGAGAAGGCAGUCCAGCCACUACUUUACAGAUGAGGCUACUGAGGCCCAGAGAGGGGAAGAAUCUUGUCCAAGGUCACACAGCGAAGUUGCUGUGGAGAAAGGGGCAGCAUGCCAGCCUUCGGAUUCCCAGUCCAAUGCUCUUGACUCAUCUUCUUGUCAUGACUACUGAUGGCACCACAGAAAACCCUGGAACAGGGGCUUGGGGUCUACAGAACAUGCACAAAAGCCUGCUGAUCGUUUCACAGAGGAACCAUACCUCCUUUGUUUAAAAUAGAGGCAAGUUUGCAAAGUUGGUGACAGUCACCUUAUUGUCCUUUCACUUCCCCCAUCUGGGUCACUGUGCUUUUUCCAGGUGACCCACUCACUGGGUGUGCUCCCAGGAGUCUCAUACUGAUACUCAGACCUACUUUCUCCCCAGAGGGCCAGGCCCUGGAAAGACCUCUUCUUUCUUCCUAGACCCAUAUUCAAAGCACAGAGGAGCAUGCCUUAUACCUUCAUUCAAAAUGAUAUCUAAAUCACUAGCAACUAAUCUAGAUGAAUCUCAUGGCUAAAUUUCAGGGGGUUUAGAUUUUGGAGCAAAGAUCUUUCUAUAUAGUUUUCAAGACAUACACAUAUCUAACCACAUGUCUGUCAGUAUGGCUGGCCCAUGUAUUAGCAAGGUGUGCACAUAGCCUAAAAUUUCCUACAACCUAGCAUCCCACCUUCCAUGGACAUACUCGUCCUGGGUAACUUAGAUGAUGUUGCUGAUGUAUAUAGGACAUGAUUUUAUUCCCAGUGAUCUGGCCUAGCUAUAGAUAAAUCUUUAGUGAAUGAAGGUUUAGCAAAAAAUAACAAUAGCCAUAGCUUCCAUUAUUGAACAUUUAUGUUGUAUUGGGGACUCUGUUAAGAACAUUAUGUACAUGUCAUAGUUUUUUAUUUUUAUAAUAAUCCUGUUAUGGGUUGAAUUGUGUCCCUGCUGAUCUGCCACCAAUUCAGAUGAAGUCCUAACUCCUAAUACCUCAUAAUGUGACUCAUUUGGAAAUAUGGUUAUUGACAAAAUGAUCAGUUAAGAUGAGGUCAAACUGAAAUAGGUAGACCUCCUAGUCCAAUAUGACUACUGUCCUCAUGAAAAGGGGAAAUUUGGACAUAGAGACACACACAUGGAGAUGAUGCCAUGUGAAGAUGAAAAUAAGAGAUCUGGUGAAGCUUCUACAUAACCAAGGACUGCCGAAGAAUGGCACCACACCUCCAGCAGCUCUGGGAGAGACACGGGCCAGCUUCUCCUUCACAGCCUCAGAAGGAACCAACUCAGCUGACGCCUUGAUCUCAGGCUUCUAGCUCCCAGAACCAUAGGACAGUAAAUAUCCGUAAGCCACCCAGUCAAUGGUACUUUGUUAUGGCAGCCCGAGCAAACCAAUACAAGCCUUAGCACAUGAUAUUCUUUAUGUUAUGGACAAGGAAGCUGAGGCUCAGAGAGGUUCAGUAACUUGCCUACCGUCACAUGCCUGAUGAGGAGCAGAGCCAGGAUUCAAACUUAGUGUGCUCUCCUGCUUUUAUUUGGGAGAUAAAAAGCGUUUAUUUUCUCUUCAUUUCAAGCCAGAUGUAAUGGACCUUCCUUCUCUCUCAGCCUGGGAGCCAGAUCUCUCAGUCUACAUCCCCAUCACUAACUCAGAACCCUGAGGUGCAUCUUUUCUUCUCCCCACAUUUCUCCUCUUUCAGCAAUUAGCACAUCCCCAAAUCAAAUGCCUAGGGCUAGCAUCAGAAAAAUAAAUUUUCUCAUUUUGAUCUUA